UUUCCCUGAAUUCCCCACCCAAGCGUAGGGAAGCGUGUAACCUACCUUCGACGGAAACGUGAAAUAGUGGAAACCGCACACCGCGCGGCAGAAUUCGUCCAUCGUAACAUCUUCCGCCGUUAAAACAAGGUAGAUUCCUUUCCGGUGAUCGACCGGGAACGGUUUAGAUCUCACCGCCGUUGCUAUUACGUCCUGGAUUGAAAGUCGCGUGAGGCGCUUUCCGUUGGAAUAGCGUAGGUCGGAAUAUUCUCCGGCGAUUGAGAUUGUGCUAGAGAUGUUAGCGCCGGUUUGGUCGGUGUAAAGAGAAACGGUUUUCCACCAGUCGGAGACGGAGGGAUGAGGGGCGGUGGUAUCGGAGAUUGAAAGGAGAAAAUCUUUGAUGAGUUGUUUGUCAGGUCUAGCCCAUUUACCGUACCAUAUGAGGUAGAUGUUAAUCGGAGAAGAGAGAACGGGUCCCAUGUGGUAUUUGAGUUUAACUACAUCGGAAGUUCCUUCAAAACGUUUUGAUGAAGAUAGUGUUCGGAGUGGUGGGAUUGGAAUUCGAGGGUUGAAUUUGGUGUUUAGGGUUUGAAAAUCUUCGUAUUGUUCAGUUAAUGCAAGUGAAAAGAAUAGGAAUAUGGAAAAAAAGAGAAUAAAAUUAGGUAGGGGUGACAUGGUUGUGCAAUGCAAGUUAGAAGAGAAGUGAAGUGAAGAGAGUAGUGAGUUGCUAUUUGCGGUGUUAUUUUAAAGAGUGGAGACGGUGGAGGGAGGUUAAUAUUUAACAAAAUUAAUAACACAAGACAUAAGAUUAUAUAGUAAUGUAAUAAUGGAGAUUGAAGAGAAAAGGGGGAGGUGUAUUUGAUUGGGAGGGAAAUUGGCUGGCGACAGCUGCCAUGUGUGGGCGCACUAUACUCGCCAAAAAACAAUCAUAAAUAAAUAUCUAUCUACUUUUAUUUAUUCAUUUUUCAAAAGUGUAAAACAGAUAUUUCUUUGUUUGCUUCUAAUCUUCUUUUCACUUGCAGAAUAUUACGAUUAAGGAAGGUAAUUUUAAUUUACCAUUGUACUACUGUGUCUCUUUCACCUAAUUCACACGGGUGAGAUUCAUACUUCAACUUGCUCUUGUAUUAAUUAAUUAAUUAAUGUAUUACAGUUUUACCCUUUCCUUUUACUUUUAAUUUUUUUACUACUCUUUGAAAUAAUGGGGUUACAUUGCAGGUUGAUAAUUGAUUAUCAUUAUUCAUUGAAGGGAGCAAAAGAAAGUAGAAAGUAAAUUGGUUGGUGGGUAUGGUAAAGUUUAUAAAGUAUGAUGAGGAGGCCUCAGCCUUGGAGAGAACAAAGUUCUUCGCCGUGAUAUGCGUCAAGCGGGGCCGCAAGGCCUGUUAUUUUUACUUUUCACACGUCUAAUUCUGCCCCACGGUUUGAAAUUUUAAUUUUAUUUACUAAAUUCCUACAUAUGUUGGUGUGGGGGGUCCAAAUUUUACUUUCAUUUAUUCUUGUGUUAUUAAGGGAAAUGUUGGAUUUUGUCAUUCAUGAUUACUCUUUGGCUAGUGAACAUUUGAAUGGUACUCUGCAGUGUUGAAUAACUCUUUCUGCACAUUUACCUAUUACCAGGGAACCAUUUCUAGGCACCAUUUUACAAGAGAAGCAUUUGUUUUUAACAAUAUAUUGGAAACUCAUUUUUUUGGGUUUUUAAAACCAAUAAAUUUACUUCCUCGAUUGUCAUCACAACUCACAACUGUUUGGUUUAAGACAAUUUUUCCUAUUGUAGCUUGUCCUUCCCUUAAUAAUAACUUUUGAAUUAAUUAUUGUCUCUAUUAUAGUAAGUUGAUAGUUAAGUAGUUGAAAAAUGAUGAAAUGAAG
Molecule: long non-coding RNA, 1839 nt
Filed under: Cicer arietinum (chickpea)
Lineage: Eukaryota; Viridiplantae; Streptophyta; Magnoliopsida; Fabales; Fabaceae
Description: long non-coding RNA (CARI_LNC000949)
Source: RNAcentral